ACUGCUCAGUAACACGUAGUUAACCUACCCUUCGGACGUGGACAACCCCGAGAAAUUGGGGCUAAUCCGCGAUAGAUGUGAUGUCCUGGAAUGGUAUUACGUCUAAAGGUAUCUCAUACAUGUUUGAUAUACGCCUAAGGAUGGGACUGCGGCUGAUCAGGCAGUUGGUGAGGUAAUGGCUCACCAAACCAUUGACCAGUACGGGCCAUGAGAGUGGUAGCCCGGAGAUGGACACUGAGACAAGGGUCCAGGCCCUACGGGGCGCAGCAGGCGCGAAACCUCCUCAAUGCACUAACGUGCGAAGGGGUUACCUCGAGUGCUAUCUGAUGAAGGUAGCUUUUCCUUGGUCUAAAAAGCCUAGGGAAUAAGAGGGGGGCAAGACUGGUGUCAGCCGCCGCGGUAACACCAGCCCCUCGAGUGGUGGGGAUGAUUAUUUGGCCUAAAGCGUCCGUAGCCUGCCGGAUAAGUUUCCCGUUAAAUCCAACGUCUCAAGCGUUGGGCUGCGGGAAAUACUGUCUGGCUAGAGAGUGGGAAAGGUUAGCGGUAUUCUGGGGGUAGGGGCGAAAUCCUUUGAUCCCCGGAGGACCACCAGUGGCGAAGGCUGCUGACUAGAACACGUCUGACGGUCAGGGACGAAAGCUGGGGUAGCGAACCGGAUUAGAUACCCGGGUAGUCCCAGCCGUAAACGAUGCAUGCUAGGUGUUGGGUUGGCCACGAGCCACCCCAGUGCCGCAGGGAAGCCGUUAAGCAUGCCGCCUGGGAAGUACGGUCGCAAGAUUGAAACUUAAAGGAAUUGGCGGGGGAGCACCACCAGGCGUGAAGCCUGCGGUUUAAUUGGAUUCAACGCCGGG
Molecule: ribosomal RNA, 851 nt
Filed under: uncultured archaeon
Lineage: Archaea
Description: bacterial SSU rRNA
Rfam family: Archaeal small subunit ribosomal RNA
Source: RNAcentral